RNAcentral lists this ribosomal RNA (706 nucleotides) under fungal endophyte. Its description in RNAcentral is "eukaryotic LSU rRNA". The stretch from base 470 to 706 matches the Rfam family "Eukaryotic large subunit ribosomal RNA", at positions 1 to 235 of the family's 3401-position model. The record is from RNAcentral. Lineage: Eukaryota; Fungi.
UUACCGAGUGCGGGCCCCUCGGGGCCCAACCUCCCACCCGUGUUGCCCGAACCUAUGUUGCCUCGGCGGGCCCCGCGCCCGCCGACGGCCCCCCUGAACGCUGUCUGAAGUUGCAGUCUGAGACCUAUAACGAAAUUAGUUAAAACUUUCAACAACGGAUCUCUUGGUUCCGGCAUCGAUGAAGAACGCAGCGAAAUGCGAUAACUAAUGUGAAUUGCAGAAUUCAGUGAAUCAUCGAGUCUUUGAACGCACAUUGCGCCCUCUGGUAUUCCGGAGGGCAUGCCUGUCCGAGCGUCAUUGCUGCCCUCAAGCCCGGCUUGUGUGUUGGGCCCCGUCCCCCCCGCCGGGGGGACGGGCCCGAAAGGCAGCGGCGGCACCGCGUCCGGUCCUCGAGCGUAUGGGGCUUCGUCACCCGCUCUAGUAGGCCCGGCCGGCGCCAGCCGACCCCCAACCUUUAAUUAUCUCAGGUUGACCUCGGAUCAGGUAGGGAUACCCGCUGAACUUAAGCAUAUCAAUAAGCGGAGGAAAAGAAACCAACCGGGAUUGCCCUAGUAACGGCGAGUGAAGCGGCAAGAGCUCAAAUUUGAAAGCUGGCCCCCUCGGGGUCCGCAUUGUAAUUUGCAGAGGAUGCUUCGGGAACGGCCCCCAUCUAAGUGCCCUGGAACGGGCCGUCAUAGAGGGUGAGAAUCCCGUCUGGGAUGGGGUG